Molecule: long non-coding RNA, 373 nt
Organism: Oncorhynchus keta (chum salmon)
Lineage: Eukaryota; Metazoa; Chordata; Actinopteri; Salmoniformes; Salmonidae
Exons: 4
Source: RefSeq, a predicted model, not a curated record
AUAGGUCUGGAUAGGUCUGGAUAGUUGGAUAGGUCUGGAUAGUUGGAUAGGUCUGGAUAGUUGGAUAGGUCUGGAUAGGGCUGGAUAGUUGGAUAGGUGGAUAGGUCUGGAUAGGUCUGGAUAGUUGGAUAGGUCUGGGUAGUUGGAUAGGUCUGGAUAGUUGGAUAGUUGGAUAGGUCUGGAUAGUUGGAUAGAUUUGGAUAGGUCUGGAUAGGUCUGGAUAGUUGGGUAGGUCUGGAUAGUUGGAUAGAUCUGGAUAGUUGGAUAGGUCUGGAUAGUUGGAUAGGUCUGGAUAGUUGGAUAGGUCUGGAUAGUUGGAUAGGUCUGGAUAGUUGGAUAGGUCUGGAUAGGUGGAUAGGUCUGGAUAGUUGGA